AACGAACGCUGGCGGCAGGCUUAACACAUGCAAGUCGAACGGGCGUAGUAAUACGUCAGUGGCAGACGGGUGAGUAACACGUGGGAACCUUCCUAGGGGUACGGAACAACUCAGGGAAACUUGAGCUAAUACCGUAUACGUCCGUGAGGAGAAAGAUUUAUCGCCCUUAGACGGGCCCGCGUCGGAUUAGCUAGUUGGUGGGUAACGGCCUACCAAGGCGACGAUCCGUAGCUGAUCUGAGAGGAUGAUCAGCCACACUGGGACUGAGACACGGCCCAGACUCCUACGGGAGGCAGCAGUGGGGAAUCUUGGACAAUGGGCGCAAGCCUGAUCCAGCCAUGCCGCGUGAGUGAAGAAGGCCUCGGUGUAAGACUUUUUGUUCUAGGGACGGAAGUAAUAG
Molecule: ribosomal RNA, 400 nt
Filed under: uncultured bacterium
Lineage: Bacteria
Description: bacterial SSU rRNA
Rfam family: Bacterial small subunit ribosomal RNA
Source: RNAcentral